AGCGAACGCUGGCGGCAGGCCUAACACAUGCAAGUCGAACGGGCUUCUUCGGAAGUCAGUGGCAGACGGGUGAGUAACACGUGGUAACGUGCCCUUCGGUUCGGAAUAACUCAGGGAAACUUGAGCUAAUACCGGAUACGCCCUUUUGGGGAAAGGUUUACUGCCGCAGGAUCGGCCCGCGUCUGAUUAGCUUGUUGGUGGGGUAACGGCCUACCAAGGCGACGAUCAGUAGCUGGUCUGAGAGGAUGAUCAGCCACACUGGGACUGAGACACGGCCCAGACUCCUACGGGAGGCAGCAGUGGGGAAUAUUGGACAAUGGGCGCAAGCCUGAUCCAGCCAUGCCGCGUGAGUGAUGAAGGCCUUAGGGUUGUAAAGCUCUUUUGUCCGGGACGAUAAUGACGGUACCGGAAGAAUAAGCCCCGGCUAACUUCGUG
Molecule: ribosomal RNA, 435 nt
Filed under: uncultured bacterium
Lineage: Bacteria
Description: partial 16S ribosomal RNA
Rfam family: Bacterial small subunit ribosomal RNA
Source: RNAcentral